Non-coding RNA from Misgurnus anguillicaudatus (oriental weatherfish), 508 nucleotides. The record is from RefSeq and is a predicted model, not a curated record. NCBI's taxonomy places the organism in Eukaryota, Metazoa, Chordata, Actinopteri, Cypriniformes, Cobitidae.
AAUAAAUUGGUAAUAUAAAACUAUUCUUCGCUGUAAAUUAAUUGUGUGCUCAAUUGCGACGCCCUGUGUUGAAUUUUCCCGCGAGUACAGUAUCAUUACUGAGGGGAAAUAUAACAUUAUUCAUUUAAUUCCACAAAAGGCCUGUAACGUACUGCAGCUUCCUGCAGGCAACGUGAAACAUUGCUGAGGGAGAACUUUAUUCACAACAAAAGGAUAAAGAUGAAGAUGCGGGACUUGGGCAGCUUGUGAUGGCUGUAAUUGUAAAGAAUGGAUCUUCUAGGAGUGGAAGCCCAAAGGAUGCUGGAAUUGUUAUCGAGGCCUUAAAGGUGUUCCCAGGGCAGGCUUUAUCCUCAUUGGAUUGGAUUGGAUCUAUGCAUUGAAUCUCCAGUAUCCCAGGCAUCUUUUCAGGUGUUUCAGAAACUUUUCUUGGAGCUGGAUUCUUCAAAGUUUAUGAACUGAUUACAGUACAGUAAGUCUAAACUGCUGUCUGAUUUUCUGGGUGUGAAUC